ACGAACGCUGGCGGCGUGCCUAAUACAUGCAAGUAGAACGCUGAAGAGAGGAGCUUGCUCUUCUUGGAUGAGUUGCGAACGGGUGAGUAACGCGUAGGUAACCUGCCUUGUAGCGGGGGAUAACUAUUGGAAACGAUAGCUAAUACCGCAUAACAAUGGAUGACACAUGUCAUUUAUUUGAAAGGGGCAAUUGCUCCACUACAAGAUGGACCCGCGUUGUAUUAGCUAGUAGGUGAGGUAAUGGCUCACCUAGGCGACGAUACAUAGCCGACCUGAGAGGGUGAUCGGCCACACUGGGACUGAGACACGGCCCAGACUCCUACGGGAGGCAGCAGUAGGGAAUCUUCGGCAAUGGGGGCAACCCUGACCGAGCAACGCCGCGUGAGUGAAGAAGGUUUUCGGAUCGUAAAGCUCUGUUGUAAGUCAAGAACGGGUGUGAGAGUGGAAAGUUCACACUGUGACGGUAGCUUACCAGAAAGGGACGGCUAACUACGUG
RNAcentral lists this ribosomal RNA (496 nucleotides) under uncultured bacterium. RNAcentral describes it as "partial 16S ribosomal RNA". It matches the Rfam family "Bacterial small subunit ribosomal RNA", at positions 29 to 507 of the family's 1533-position model. The record is from RNAcentral.